GAUGAAGAACGUAGCGAAAUGCGAUAAGUAAUGUGAAUUGCAGAAUUCAGUGAAUCAUCGAAUCUUUGAACGCACAUUGCGCCCAUUAGUAUUCUAGUGGGCAUGCCUGUUCGAGCGUCAUUUCAACCCUUAAGCCUAGCUUAGUGUUGGGAAUCUGCUGUAUUGCAGUUCCUCAAAUACAACGGCGGAUCUGUAACAUCCUCUGAGCGUAGUAAAUUUUUAUCUCGUUUUUGUUAGGUGUUGCAGCUCUCAGCCGCUAAACCCCCCAAUUUUUGUGGUUGACCUCGGAUCAGGUAGGAAUACCCGCUGAACUUAAGCAUAUCAAUAAGCGGAGGA
This 336-nucleotide unclassified non-coding RNA is filed under the name soil metagenome. Its description in RNAcentral is "partial contains 5.8S ribosomal RNA, internal transcribed spacer 2, and large subunit ribosomal RNA". The stretch from base 1 to 120 matches the Rfam family "5.8S ribosomal RNA", at positions 35 to 154 of the family's 154-position model. The record is from RNAcentral.